CCUACGGGCGGCAGCAGUGAGGAAUAUUGGUCAAUGGGCUUAAGCCUGAACCAGCCAAGUCGCGUGAGGGAAGACUGCCCUAUGGGUUGUAAACCUCUUUUGUCAGGGAGCAAUUGGCGCUACGUGUACCUUUAUCGAGAGUACCUGAAGAAAAAGCAUCGGCUAACUCCGUGCCAGCAGCCGCGGUAAUACGGAGGAUGCGAGCGUUCUCCGGCUUUAUUGGGUUUAAAGGGUGCGUAGGCGGAAUGUCAAGUCAGUGGGAAAAUCGCGGGGCUAAACCUCGCUCCGCAGUUGAAACUGGCGGUCUUGAGUGGGCGAGAAGUAUGCGGAAUGCGUGGUGUAGCGGUGAAAUGCAUAGAUAUCACGCAGAACUCCGAUUGCGAAGGCAGCAUACCGGCGCCCAACUGACGCUGAAGCACGAAAGCGUGGGUAUCGAACAGGAUUAGAUACCCUUGUAGUC
Molecule: ribosomal RNA, 460 nt
Filed under: uncultured bacterium
Lineage: Bacteria
Description: partial 16S ribosomal RNA
Rfam family: Bacterial small subunit ribosomal RNA
Source: RNAcentral